CAUCCAGAGUUUGAUCAUGGCUCAGGAUGAACGCUGGCGGCGUGCUUAACACAUGCAAGUCGAACGAUGAAGCCGAAGCUUGCUUUGGUGGAUUAGUGGCGAACGGGUGAGUAACACGUGAGUAACCUGCCCCUGACUCUGGGAUAAGCCUGGGAAACUGGGUCUAAUACCGGAUAUGACCAUGGAACGCAUGUUCUGUGGUGGAAAGAUUUAUCGGUUGGGGAUGGACUCGCGGCCUAUCAGCUUGUUGGUGAGGUAAUGGCUCACCAAGGCGACGACGGGUAGCCGGCCUGAGAGGGUGACCGGCCACACUGGGACUGAGACACGGCCCAGACUCCUACGGGAGGCAGCAGUGGGGAAUAUUGCACAAUGGGCGAAAGCCUGAUGCAGCGACGCCGCGUGAGGGAUGACGGCCUUCGGGUUGUAAACCUCUUUCAGUAGGGAAGAAGCGAGAGUGACGGUACCUGCAGAAGAAUGCGCCGGCUAACUACGUGCCAGCAGCCGCGGUAAUACGUAGGGCGCAAGCGUUAUCCGGAUUUAUUGGGCGUAAAGAGCUCGUAGGCGGUUUGUCGCGUCUGCCGUGAAAGUCCGAGGCUCAACCUCGGAUCUGCGGUGGGUACGGGCAGACUAGAGUGAUGUAGGGGAGACUGGAAUUCCUGGUGUAGCGGUGAAAUGCGCAGAUAUCAGGAGGAACACCGAUGGCGAAGGCAGGUCUCUGGGCAUUUACUGACGCUGAGGAGCGAAAGCAUGGGGAGCGAACAGGAUUAGAUACCCUGGUAGUCCAUGCCGUAAACGUUGGGCACUAGGUGUGGGGGACAUUCCACGUUUCCGCGCCGUAGCUAACGCAUAAGUGCCCGCC
Molecule: ribosomal RNA, 859 nt
Filed under: Glutamicibacter protophormiae
Lineage: Bacteria; Bacillati; Actinomycetota; Actinomycetes; Micrococcales; Micrococcaceae
Description: bacterial SSU rRNA
Rfam family: Bacterial small subunit ribosomal RNA
Source: RNAcentral